UGCCCACUGAUAAAUUAUUAAAGGGCUGCAGUAAUUUGACUGUACAAAGGUAGCAUAAUCAUUAGUCAUUUAAUUGGUGACUUGUAUGAAAGAUUGGAUGAAAUAUAAACUGUCUUUAAGGUAUAUUAUAGAAUUUAAUUUUUUAAUUAAAAAGUUAAAAUAAGUAAGAAAGACGAGAAGACCCUAUAGAGUUUUAUUUUUUUUUUAGUUUGUAAUUAUUUAUAAAUAAUUAAGUAUUUAUAUUUAGAAAAAAAUUUUGUUGGGGUGAUAAAAAAAUUAAAUAAACUUUUUUUUUUAUUUUAACAUAGAUAAGUGGUUAAUUGAUCCUUUAUUAAUGAUUAUAAGAAAAAAUUACCUUAGGGAUAACAGCGUAAUUUUUUUUUUUAGUUCAUAUAAGAAAAAGAGUUUGCGACCUCGAUGUUGGAUUAAGAUAAAAUUUAAAUGUAGAAGUUUAAAGUUUUUGA
Molecule: ribosomal RNA, 464 nt
Filed under: Dasychira glaucozona
Lineage: Eukaryota; Metazoa; Arthropoda; Insecta; Lepidoptera; Erebidae
Description: partial large subunit ribosomal RNA
Source: RNAcentral